Molecule: unclassified non-coding RNA, 253 nt
Filed under: uncultured Caryophanales bacterium
Lineage: Bacteria; Bacillati; Bacillota; Bacilli; Caryophanales
Description: uncultured Bacillales bacterium contains 16S-23S intergenic spacer region
Rfam family: Bacterial small subunit ribosomal RNA
Source: RNAcentral
UACGUAGGGGGCAAGCGUUGUCCGGAAUUAUUGGGCGUAAAGCGCGCGUAGGCGGUCUCUUAAGUCUGAUGUGAAAUCUUGCGGCUCAACCGCAAGCGGUCAUUGGAAACUGGGGAACUUGAGUACAGGAGAGGAAGGUAGAAUUCCCGGUGUAGCGGUGAAAUGCGUAGAGAUCGGGAGGAAUACCAGUGGCGAAGGCGACUUUCUGGUCUGUAACUGACGCUGAGGCGCGAAAGCGUGGGGAGCAAACAGG